ACCUACGGGGCGCAGCAGUGAGGAAUAUUGGUCAAUGGUCGGGAGACUGAACCAGCCAAGCCGCGUGAGGGAGGAAGGUACAGAGUAUCGUAAACCUCUUUUGUCAGGGAACAAAGGCGGGGACGUGUCCCUGGAUGAGUGUACCUGAAGAAAAAGCAUCGGCUAACUCCGUGCCAGCAGCCGCGGUAAUACGGAGGAUGCGAGCGUUAUCCGGAUUUAUUGGGUUUAAAGGGUGCGCAGGCGGUCUGUUAAGUCAGCGGUCAAAGCCCGGGGCUCAACCCCGGCCCGCCGUUGAAACUGGCAGG
Molecule: ribosomal RNA, 305 nt
Filed under: uncultured bacterium
Lineage: Bacteria
Description: bacterial SSU rRNA
Rfam family: Bacterial small subunit ribosomal RNA
Source: RNAcentral